RNAcentral lists this ribosomal RNA (474 nucleotides) under Mycobacterium intracellulare. RNAcentral's name for it is "bacterial SSU rRNA". It matches the Rfam family "Bacterial small subunit ribosomal RNA", at positions 55 to 532 of the family's 1533-position model. Lineage: Bacteria; Bacillati; Actinomycetota; Actinomycetes; Mycobacteriales; Mycobacteriaceae. The record is from RNAcentral.
AUGCAAGUCGAACGGAAAGGCCCCUUCGGGGGUACUCGAGUGGCGAACGGGUGAGUAACACGUGGGCAAUCUGCCCUGCACUUCGGGAUAAGCCUGGGAAACUGGGUCUAAUACCGGAUAGGACCUUUAGGCGCAUGUCUUUAGGUGGAAAGCUUUUGCGGUGUGGGAUGGGCCCGCGGCCUAUCAGCUUGUUGGUGGGGUGAUGGCCUACCAAGGCGACGACGGGUAGCCGGCCUGAGAGGGUGUCCGGCCACACUGGGACUGAGAUACGGCCCAGACUCCUACGGGAGGCAGCAGUGGGGAAUAUUGCACAAUGGGCGCAAGCCUGAUGCAGCGACGCCGCGUGGGGGAUGACGGCCUUCGGGUUGUAAACCUCUUUCACCAUCGACGAAGGUCCGGGUUUUCUCGGAUUGACGGUAGGUGGAGAAGAAGCACCGGCCAACUACGUGCCAGCAGCCGCGGUAAUACGUAGGG